GACAAAAAUCAAUUUUAUUUUUAUAUACUAUUGAACAACUAGAAACUGAAAAAUUUUAAAUAAUACCAUUUAUAGUAGCACUAAAAACAUGAAAUACUUAGGUAUAAAUAUAAUAUGUGCAGAUUCUGUAUACUGAAAAUGAUAAAACAUUGAUGGAAGAAAUUAAAGAACAUCUAAAUAAUACCAGACCUGGUACCAGUUCCUUUACAUAUAUUUCCUCUUUGACUCUUCAGAACCAUUCUGUGUCAUACUUACUACCCCCAGGCUCAGAGUCUGACUUAUCCAAGGCCAUAUGAUAAAAGAAUUCAUAGCAGCUUCAUUUUGGAAUAGCCCCAAAUUGGAAAUAACUCAAAUGUCCUUCAACCAGUGACUGGAUAAGCAAACCAUGGUAUAGCCACAUCAUGGAUUAUUACUCAGCAAUAAAAAUGAACGUUUUAUUAGAAUAUGAAACAACCUAGAUGAAUCUCCAGGGCAUUACUCUGUGUGAAGAAAGCCAGUCCCAAAUGGUUACACACUGUACAAUUCCAUUUAUAUAACAUUUUUGAAAUGACAACAUUAUAGAGAUGGAGAACAGAUUAGUGGUUGCCUGUGGCUAGAGAUGGGGGGUAGGGGAGAGGGGUAGGUGUAAUUAUAAAACGGUAGCAGGAGAGACUGUGAGAACUAGACCCCAAGACCUGACCUUUACUGCCUACCUGCUUGUACUCACCAACUUUUGUCCCACAUUUUUCCUUAAGCUCUUCUUUCCAGCUUAUCUCUUUAAUUCAGGCAAAAGACCCAAUGGUCAUAGCAUCCUGUGAUGGAAACUGCCUGGAUAAAGAGCAGUAGCUGGCCUAGACCCCCCAGAUCAGUUUCAAUUCAACCCCUGACUCACAUGUGUGCAGAUGGGCCAUGGAGUGACCAGCUGUUACCUUUCCCUCAUUAUAAUACUAAAAUCUCCACUCAAGGAGGAGCAUGAACCUCAUUUACAUAAUAUACGAUGCACAUUAUUGGCAUGUUUCCUUAAGGUGCAUGCACAACUUUAUGCCCACCUCUACAUAUGAUGACAAGGACCUCUUAUCUAAAUAUUCAUCCUAACCCUAAAUAAAAGGAAUUAAUUCACCCUUGCUCAAAGAGUCACAGCUUUGGAAGUUAUUACCCAUGAUCUCACUUGCUGCAAAUGCAGUUUACCCGUGAAAGCAUUCUAUGUGGUGUAGUUUCUAUCUGUGAUUCACUAAGGAUCAAAAUCACUUUAGUUCAGUUACAGGAUCAUAGUGGUCAUCAAACAUUUCUAGAUAUUGAUUGUGGUACAGUUGUAUGAAUCUACACAUGUGAUAAAAUUGCAUAGGCCUAUACACAUACAUAAAUAAGUGCUUAUAAAACUGGUAUAAUGUGAACAAACUCUGUGGAUUGUAUCAUUGUCAACUUCCCAGUGUUGACAUUAUACUGUGGUUGUAUAAGAUGUCACCACUGCAGAAAACUGGGUGAAGUAUGCAUGAGACCUCUCUGUAUAAUUUUUGUAACUUUCUAUGAAGCCAUAACUAUUUCCAAAUAAAAAGGCUUAAAAAAAAUAUCCAGGCUUCUAUACCACAACCCCCAACAGUAUGCCAUCAAAAGACACCGAAGUCUCUCUGAAAGAGUAUGGGAAUCACAUUAGAGCUCCCCUUCAGAGAUGAAACCUCUACUUACCACUUUUUCUUGAUUCAAUAUUUACUGAGAGUCCAACUGGGAAUCAGGCCUUAUAUUGGAAGCUAAGUGAUAGGAGAUGCAUGAUUUAUGACACCUUCUCAAGUGAGCUCCCAACCUAGUUGCUAAUGAAAAGACCUAAUAUGAUAAGAACAUCGGACUACUACAAGUCCGAAGAAUUCUGUCCUUGUGGAACCACUUACUAGGUUUUUUAGUUUGGACCAAUCCAUUUCCUCUUGGUGCGCUGACUUCUUAACCUGCAAAAUUUGGGAGAAUGAAAUACAUAUAAAUAAAUGUAUUUUAAACUAAACCUGGGUCCUGUGAGUAGGUUCAAGGAUAUCUGGAAAUCACCUAAAAUUAUAUGCAUAAAUAUGUAGAAUAAUUCCAGAUGAGGUAUUGUUUUCAGAUUCUGGGCAUUUGCUCACCCAUACAGUUUAGAAUAACUGCAUUUAACUUUUAGAUUUAAUAUGUAUGGUCCCUUCCAUUCUAACAUUCCACAAUUCUAAUAGACCUCCAAGAUCUAUUUCUAAUAUUCCAUGAUUCUAAUAGGGAUGCAAGAAAUGGGACUAGAGAUCUAACAUUCUGAGAUUCCAUGGACUGCAAGAGUUCAUUCCCUUUCCCAAAAGAACAAGGGUUCAAUUUUUCAACAUGGGAUUCUAGACAGUCUAUGAUUUAACUUCCAAAUGACCUUCCAAACUCAGCUUUCAUCCCUUUCCCAUACCCUGGCCACGCCCCCAGGUGUAGACUGCAGUUUCCACAAAGUUUUGCUCCCAUUCACUCUGUGCUUGGCACAGGCAAUGCCUUCUACCUGGAAUGCCCUAAAUCUCCCUUUUUCUUCUUGAGUCUCAGCUUAAAGUUCUCCUCCCCGCCCCCAGUAAAAAUCUUCCAUGACCCUUCAUCCUUGCAGCAAGGUUUGAUGUGCUCCCUUAAGCCCAGAUUUCUGACUGCCUGUCGCCAUCCAGGGAAUAGGACUGUUGGUUCACUCAGGGCAGUGAAUCAAAAUGCCAAGAGGCGAGGCAAAGGAAGUAAAGGUUUGAAGCUAGUAGGUAUAACAAACUCUAGACUCCUGUUUUCCCAUCUCUGGAAAUAAAGAAAAAUAUCAGAUCUAAGGAAAACAAUCUGAGAGGAACAGUAAAUGUAAACAGCAUUCUGUUUAAGAGACAAAAGGGAGUGGUGGGGAUUGAGGCCAUUUGAAACAGAGCAUCUUGUCCAAAAGAAGGAGACUCUACUCAGUUCCAGCUAAUUGUUGAUUGGCAGGAAUGUGGGUGGGUCCAUCCAAUGUGGUCAGCUCAUCUACUUUUUCAAGAGAAGCUGGAAAUCCAGAUUUGCACAUGUGAAAUCUCCCAAUUUUAAGUGCCAAUAACUAAAAAAUAUUCAAGACCCAUUGCAAUGACUUUCAGGGUUUUCAGGCUAUGAAAAAUGUUCUGUGAGAAUCCAUUUCUACCUAUCCAAGAGAGCAUAUCCUAUUAAGAAGGCAAGUUUUAUAUCAGGGCUGCUGGUGUAUUGCAAGUUGUUAAACAGACCCACUCCUUCUGCACAAAGCUCAGACAAAACCUUUCAUAUGGGUCCCCUGUCUCUCUCUCUCUCUUUGGGUCUUAGCUUCCCUAUCUACCAAUGGCAGUAUAAAGCAUAAUUGUGAGUCAGCUGUCAAGAGGUACGAGGUUUCAUCUGUAUCAUCUCGCUGAACUCUCCUAACUUCUGAGGUAAAUUGUAUUAUCUCCACAUUUUACAGCUCUAAAAAAAAAACCUGCCACUCAGAGAUAGCAGUUUAUCGAAUGAAGACAACAGCAAACAUAUUUUUAAAAAAAACCCUUUCCUUCAAAGGGCUUUACUGCUUUAAUCCUCUCAACAAGUCUGGCCUAAGGCAAAUAAACCCUGAAAUGGGGAGUCCACCAAGGCAGCCUGACUCCAAAGCGGUAGCACCGUGUUGCUUAACAGGAACAUAAUGCAAACCAUACAUAUAAAUUUUUCUAGUAGCCACACUUGAAAAGUAAAAUGACACAGGUUAGGGAUCCCUGGAUAGCUCAGCGGUUUAGCGCCUGCCUUUGGCCCAGGGCCCGAUCCUGGAGUCUCAGGAUCGAGUCCCACGUCAGGCUCCUGGCAUGGAGCCUGCUUCUCCCUCCUCCUGUGUCUCUGCCCCUCUCUCUCUUUCUCUCUCUCUCUCUAUCAUAAAUAAAUAAAUCUUUAAAAAAAAAUGACACAGGUUAAUUUUAAUAAUAGACUUUAUUUGACCCGACACAUGUAAAAUAUUACCAAUCUAACAUGUAAUCAAUAUAAAAGACAUUGAGAUCUAUUACCGGUUGUACCAAAGCUUGGGUAUAUUUUACAUUACAGCACAUCCCCAUUCCGACUAGCCACAUUUCAAAGGACUCAGUAAGCCCACGGAGCUAGCGGCCGCCAUACGGCACAGGGCAUUUAGAGUCUAAUUUUAAUGUUAAAAGCAGAACCCAAAGAGGCACCUGUCCCUUGGUUUCAAAGGACGCGGCCCAAAUAACAAUGGCACACAGCUGUUGAGCAUAUACUUUGUGCCAUGGGAGAGGCGAGUCUUACUGUGUCUGUUGAGGACCUUCACACGUUAGAUUUUGUCAUUCUCGAAACGAGGCGAGUGCCCCUGCUUAUCUCCUUUGACAGAAAGAGGACUUCCCCGGAGCCCGACCUCGUCCCGCCGUCCCGCCCCAGCGAAGCCGUGGCUCGCCACCGUCCCAGUCAGGGGCCAGGAAGGAGGCGCGCACGCAGCGGGACGUGCAGAUCACCUGCGGCCCGGAGCGGGCAAAGUGGGCGAAGACCCCUCGGCGCUCCUUCUCCUCCAGCUCUUCUUCCUGCUCCUCUUCCUCCUCUUCUUCUUCCUCACCCUCCUCGGACUCGGACUCGGACUCCGAUUCC
Molecule: long non-coding RNA, 4545 nt
Filed under: Canis lupus familiaris (dog)
Lineage: Eukaryota; Metazoa; Chordata; Mammalia; Carnivora; Canidae
Description: lncRNA (ENSCAFG00000053578.1)
Source: RNAcentral